UACGUAGGGACCAAGCGUUGUUCGGAUUUACUGGGCGUAAAGGGCGCGUAGGCGGCAAAUCAAGUCAUCUGUGAAAUCUCCGGGCUUAACUCGGAACGGUCAGAUGAUACUGCUUUGCUAGAGUGCGGAAGGGGCAAUCGGAAUUCUCGGUGUAGCGGUGAAAUGCGUAGAUAUCGUUUGGAACGCCAAUGGCGAAAACAGACGACUGGGAGUGUGCUGACGCUGAGACACGAAAGCCAGGGGAGCGAACGGG
RNAcentral lists this ribosomal RNA (253 nucleotides) under uncultured bacterium. RNAcentral's name for it is "partial 16S ribosomal RNA". It matches the Rfam family "Bacterial small subunit ribosomal RNA", at positions 524 to 776 of the family's 1533-position model. The record is from RNAcentral.